CCCUGAUGUUAGCGGCGGACGGGUGAGUAACACGUGGGUAACCUGCCUGUAAGACUGGGAUAACUCCGGGAAACCGGGGCUAAUACCGGAUGGUUGUUUGAACCGCAUGGUUCAGACAUAAAAGGUGGCUUCGGCUACCACUUACAGAUGGACCCGCGGCGCAUUAGCUAGUUGGUGAGGUAACGGCUCACCAAGGCAACGAUGCGUAGCCGACCUGAGAGGGUGAUCGGCCACACUGGGACUGAGACACGGCCCAGACUCCUACGGGAGGCAGCAGUAGGGAAUCUUCCGCAAUGGACGAAAGUCUGACGGAGCAACGCCGCGUGAGUGAUGAAGGUUUUCGGAUCGUAAAGCUCUGUUGUUAGGGAAGAACAAGUGCCGUUCAAAUAGGGCGGCACCUUGACGGUACCUAACCAGAAAGCCACGGCUAACUACGUGCCAGCAGCCGCGGUAAUACGUAGGUGGCAAGCGUUGUCCGGAAUUAUUGGGCGUAAAGGGCUCGCAGGCGGUUUCUUAAGUCUGAUGUGAAAGCCCCCGGCUCAACCGGGGAGGGUCAUUGGAAACUGGGGAACUUGAGUGCAGAAGAGGAGAGUGGAAUUCCACGUGUAGCGGUGAAAUGC
This 620-nucleotide ribosomal RNA is filed under the name Bacillus velezensis. RNAcentral describes it as "bacterial SSU rRNA". It matches the Rfam family "Bacterial small subunit ribosomal RNA", at positions 84 to 689 of the family's 1533-position model. Lineage: Bacteria; Bacillati; Bacillota; Bacilli; Caryophanales; Bacillaceae. The record is from RNAcentral.